GGGCGCUUAGCUCAGCGGUAGAGCGGCUGCCUUACAAGCAGUAGGUCGGGGGUUCGACACCCUCAGCGCCCACCA
Molecule: transfer RNA, 75 nt
Filed under: Rubrivivax sp. SCN 70-15
Lineage: Bacteria; Pseudomonadati; Pseudomonadota; Betaproteobacteria; Burkholderiales; Sphaerotilaceae
Description: tRNA-Val
Rfam family: tRNA
About the family: Transfer RNA (tRNA) molecules are approximately 80 nucleotides in length. Their secondary structure includes four short double-helical elements and three loops (D, anti-codon, and T loops).
Source: RNAcentral